Molecule: ribosomal RNA, 400 nt
Filed under: uncultured bacterium
Lineage: Bacteria
Description: bacterial SSU rRNA
Rfam family: Bacterial small subunit ribosomal RNA
Source: RNAcentral
UGGGGAAUUUUGCGCAAUGGACGAAAGUCUGACGCAGCAACGCCGCGUGGAGGAUGAAGGUCUUAGGAUUGUAAACUUCUGUUAAUUGGAAAGAAAUGCGCAGGGUUAAUACCCCUGUGAGCUGACGUUACCAAUUGAGAAAGCCCCGGCUAACUUCGUGCCAGCAGCCGCGGUAAUACGAAGGGGGCGAGCGUUAUUCGGAAUUAUUGGGUGUAAAGGGCGUGUAGGCGGUGUAAAAAGUCUAUUGUUUAAUCCUCUGGCUUAACUGGAGAACUGCAGUAGAUACUAUUAUGCUAGAGUAUGGAAGAGAGAAGUGGAAUUCUCGGAGUAGCGGUAAAAUGCGUAGAUCUCGAGAGGAACGCCAAUGGCGAAGGCAGCUUCUUGGUACAUUACUGACGCU